Molecule: transfer RNA, 85 nt
Filed under: Luteibacter sp. Sphag1AF
Lineage: Bacteria; Pseudomonadati; Pseudomonadota; Gammaproteobacteria; Lysobacterales; Rhodanobacteraceae
Description: tRNA-Leu
Rfam family: tRNA
About the family: Transfer RNA (tRNA) molecules are approximately 80 nucleotides in length.
Source: RNAcentral
GCGAGGGUGGCGGAAUUGGUAGACGCACCAGAUUUAGGUUCUGGCGGGGUAACCCGUGAGGGUUCGAGUCCCUCCCUUCGCACCA